UGACGAUGAAAGCGCAAUCAUGGCCACAGCGUCUCUGUGGGAUCUCACUGCCUUUCGCCUGUGGGAUUGACUCCAGGGACAGACGCAGAGCACGGCUCCCAUCGCUCAGAGUGUCAAUCAAAAGCACCUGCUGUGUAAGGAGUCAAGGAGAAGGAACGGCUGAGACCCAGUGGGGCGGGGACUCCAGGGUGCCCCGGAGACUGGUUCCCCAAAGUGGUGCGAGGAGAGAAGUGGGCAGACCCUUGUGGUUUGGUGGGAAAAGAGUGGUGGGUUUGGGAGCCCAGGGAAAAGAUGGGCCCCAGGACUCCUGCCACUCCUCUCCCACUAGGGAUGAAGAGUUCUCAGAUGGUGAUAGAGAAACGGCUCAUGUGCACUAUUUUCUUCGCCCCGGCUGGCAGGAAGAAGGUUUUUAAAAAAUAAAAAAUGAAGAGAGUGGAUGCCCCUUCAUUUACUGGCUUCCCCGGGCCCAGUCUUCCCCAGCUCCUCUGUCCCAGGCUGCUGAAGUCGAAACUCAGAACGGGAGCCAGGAGCCCUUGGCCCUCGGGCACGUUUCCGUGGGCCGUCGCGGGAGCCCGGCAAAGUGACGGCAGAAGCCACCCUUCUGUGUCAACGGGCCUGGGCAGCAGUGCUCUGGAUCCAGGGUGGGAACGACAGGAGAUUGGGCCACAGCUCUGCGACCUCCUCGGGACAGGAGCAGCAUGCUCUGGUGGGAGUGGGACCCCAGAGUUCACGUGCUGGGGGCCUAGACCCCGGCACAGCAGGGCUGAGAGGUGGGACCUCCCGGGUGUGGAUGUCGGCGAGGGCUGAGCCCUUGGAAAUGGGUCAACACAUCGUCUCUGCCGCGGGUUUUCCUGGUGAAAGGACGGCGGGCUCCCCCCCCUUCUCUCACUUGUGCCUGCGCUUGACCUUCGCCUUCUGCUCUGGAACGGCACAGCAAGAAGCCCUUGCCAGUUGUGGGCCCCUCGACCUGGGGCUGCCGGGCUUCGGAACCCCAGGCAGGAAUCUCUACCCUUUCUAUACUGUCCAGCCUCCGGAAUCUGAGAGCCGGGCGGUGGCACCCACCUGUGACCCCGGCAGCUUGGAUGAGGCGGUGGAACGCACGGGUAAGAGAGUGGGCCCCCUGUGCUGACCCCACAUCCUUUCUUUCCCAAGAAUCAGUUUACCUGCAGCCCUGCCCGGCCUCAGUGGACAGGACAGUCACAUUCCUCAGCAAACUACCUGCUACCUGCAGGAGAAACGCAGGCCCCAAAUAAUGUCCAUACGAGGAACCCGUUACCCUCAAGGGGGAGACCUUUGAGACCUGAAACUCUGGGAGAUAAGGAUUGUCCCCCCAACCAUAAAAUCUGUAGGAAUAUAUGGGGACUUGAAAGUCUGAUGUCACCCUGCUGUCAGUCAAAAGCCAAGAGGUGGGCCAGGGCAGAACUCUCUGGAAAUUUCUCUGGGGUCCCCAAUAAAACUGGAGUGCGGGAGAGGCAUAGGGUCCCUCUCUUCUCUGAAAGGACUCACCCUCUCCCUUGAGAGUGUCCCCUUCCCCUUUCCUAACCCUUCAAUAAACUCAUGCCUGUUACC
This is a long non-coding RNA of Ictidomys tridecemlineatus (thirteen-lined ground squirrel), 1569 nucleotides long. The record is from Ensembl. NCBI's taxonomy places the organism in Eukaryota, Metazoa, Chordata, Mammalia, Rodentia, Sciuridae.